This is a long non-coding RNA of Lontra canadensis (Northern American river otter), 834 nucleotides long. RefSeq lists it as uncharacterized. The transcript is spliced from 4 exons. NCBI's taxonomy places the organism in Eukaryota, Metazoa, Chordata, Mammalia, Carnivora, Mustelidae. The record is from RefSeq and is a predicted model, not a curated record.
CUCUAUCUUCCAUGAAAAAAUAGCUAUAUUAUAAGCCACCAAAUGUUGGCUCUAUUUCUAUUCACUGUCUCAGGAUGUGUACAGUUUGACAGUGUUUUCACUUCAACUCUCUGAGUGACAUCAUUAAAGAAACUGGUGACCCAAGGCUGUCUCAUCUUCAAUGCUGGUUUCUUAAAAUGAGUGCCAUUUUCUUCAGUUACAUUAUGAAAUGGCCAGGCAGCAGGGGAACCAUGGAGAUCUGUGCCCCACCACCCACCAGGCUUUCCCUGACUGACCCGUGUUUACCUUCUGUCGGUGCCACUUCCCACUGGGUUAUUGAUGUGCUUCUCUGCCCAGGAAGCCAGCUCUCUCAAUGUACUUUGUUAAGCUGACACCAGGGCACACACAGGCUUUUGUUGUACUGUGAAGGCGAAGAAGAAUGUUUGUGGACGGGGAUGCUGAAUAUCUCAGUUAAACUCUUCUUAGAGAGGCGGGAGAGACAGACAGACAUCUGAUUACACAUUCUCCUUAUUCAGAUGACACCUGAAAGCCUAUUCUGUUCCCAAGGAAGGCAAAGUUCAAUUCUUCCCUCUGAUUAGGAGCCCUUUUGUUUAAUAUGUGACUGGUGGCUUAAGACAGCUCCCAAAGUAAAAACAAACCUGUGUUGAUUAAUCAACAGCAAAUGAAAACUUAGAUUAUGACUUGUUUGUGUUUCCUGACUUUCAGGAACAGUCAUCACUGUUAAAUUCCUGACUUUCCUGAGAAUGUUGCUCUCGGCUUUUUCUAGAUUUAGUUGGGGUUUAUCCAAUUUGCCUAAAAUCACUCUUUGUCCCUUUUUGUUUCUUGUAGGAGCAA